UACGUAGGGGGCAAGCGUUAUCCGGAUUUACUGGGUGUAAAGGGAGCGUAGACGGAAUUGCAAGUCUGAUGUGAAAAUCCGGGGCCCAACCCCGGAAGUGCAUUGGAAACUGUAUUUCUAGAGUGUCGGAGAGGCAAGUGGAAUUCCUGGUGUAGCGGUGAAAUGCGUAGAUAUCAGGAGGAACACCAGUGGCGAAGGCGGCUUGCUGGACGAUGACUGACGUUGAGGCUCGAAAGCGUGGGGAGCAAACAGG
RNAcentral lists this ribosomal RNA (253 nucleotides) under uncultured bacterium. Its description in RNAcentral is "partial 16S ribosomal RNA". It matches the Rfam family "Bacterial small subunit ribosomal RNA", at positions 524 to 776 of the family's 1533-position model. The record is from RNAcentral.